GUGGCGAACGGGUGAGUAACACGUGAGUAACCUGCCCCUGACUCUGGGAUAAGCGUUGGAAACGACGUCUAAUACUGGAUAUGAUCACCGGCCGCAUGGUCUGGUGGUGGAAAGAUUUUUUGGUUGGGGAUGGACUCGCGGCCUAUCAGCUUGUUGGUGAGGUAAUGGCUCACCAAGGCGACGACGGGUAGCCGGCCUGAGAGGGUGACCGGCCACACUGGGACUGAGACACGGCCCAGACUCCUACGGGAGGCAGCAGUGGGGAAUAUUGCACAAUGGGCGAAAGCCUGAUGCAGCAACGCCGCGUGAGGGAUGACGGCCUUCGGGUUGUAAACCUCUUUUAGUAGGGAAGAAGCGAAAGUGACGGUACCUGCAGAAAAAGCACCGGCUAACUACGUGCCAGCAGCCGCGGUAAUACGUAGGGUGCAAGCGUUGUCCGGAAUUAUUGGGCGUAAAGAGCUCGUAGGCGGUUUGUCGCGUCUGCUGUGAAAUCCCGAGGCUCAACCUCGGGCUUGCAGUGGGUACGGGCAGACUAGAGUGCGGUAGGGGAGAUUGGAAUUCCUGGUGUAGCGGUGGAAUGCGCAGAUAUCAGGAGGAACACCGAUGGCGAAGGCAGAUCUCUGGGCCGUAACUGACGCUGAGGAGCGAAAGCGUGGGGAGCGAACAGGAUUAGAUACCCUGGUAGUCCACGCCGUAAACGUUGGGCGCUAGAUGUAGGG
Molecule: ribosomal RNA, 719 nt
Filed under: Curtobacterium sp.
Lineage: Bacteria; Bacillati; Actinomycetota; Actinomycetes; Micrococcales; Microbacteriaceae
Description: bacterial SSU rRNA
Rfam family: Bacterial small subunit ribosomal RNA
Source: RNAcentral